AACGAACGCUGGCGGCGUGCUUAACACAUGCAAGUCGAACGCGAAAGGGACUUCGGUCCUGAGUAAAGUGGCGCACGGGUGAGUAACGCGUAGAUAACCUGUCUUCAUGUCUGGAAUAAUACGCCGAAAGGGGUACUAAUACCGGAUAUUCUUGCUUUUCAUAAGUUAUGCAAGCAAAGGUGGCCUCUGCAUAUGCUACUGCAUGAAGAGGGGUCUGCGUACCAUUAGCUAGUAGGUGGGUAAUGGCCUACCUAGGCGACGAUGGUUAGCGGGUCUGAGAGGAUGAUCCGCCACACUGGCACUGGAACACGGGCCAGACUCCUACGGGAGGCAGCAGUGAGGAAUAUUGCGCAAUGGGGAAACCCUGACGCAGCGACGCCGCGUGAGUGAGGAAAGGCCUUCGGGUCGUAAAGCUCUGUCAAGAGGAAAGAAGUGUACAAUGGCUAAUACCUGUUGUAUUUGACGGUACCUCUAAAGGAAGCACCGGCUAACUCCGUGCCAGCAGCAGC
RNAcentral lists this ribosomal RNA (509 nucleotides) under uncultured bacterium. RNAcentral's name for it is "bacterial SSU rRNA". It matches the Rfam family "Bacterial small subunit ribosomal RNA", at positions 29 to 518 of the family's 1533-position model. The record is from RNAcentral.